GCCAGACUCCUACGGGAGGCAGCAGUGAGGAAUAUUGGUCAAUGGGCGGGAGCCUGAACCAGCCAAGUCGCGUGAGGGAAGACGGUCCUAUGGAUUGUAAACCUCUUUUGUCGGGGAGCAAAGAGGCCACGUGUGGUCAAAAGCGAGAGUACCCGAAGAAAAAGCAUCGGCUAACUCCGUGCCAGCAGCCGCGGUAAUACGGAGGAUGCGAGCGUUAUCCGGAUUUAUUUGGUUUAAAGGGUGCGUAGGCAGGCUGUUAAGUCAGCGGUCAAAUGUCGGGGCCCAACCCCGGCCUGCCGUUGAAACUGGCGGCCUCGAGUGGGCGAGAAGUAUGCGGAAUGCGUGGUGUAGCGGUGAAAUGCAUAGAUAUCACGCAGAACUCCGAUUGCGAAGGCAGCAUACCGGCGCCCUACUGACGCUGAGGCACGAAAGCGUGGGUAUCGAACAGGAUUAGAUACCCCUGUA
Molecule: ribosomal RNA, 465 nt
Filed under: uncultured bacterium
Lineage: Bacteria
Description: bacterial SSU rRNA
Rfam family: Bacterial small subunit ribosomal RNA
Source: RNAcentral